AAAAAAAACCCUAAUCUCCAUUUGAUAGAAUGAUCCUAUAACAUUCAAAAUUCUUCCUGCAAAUCCCAAAAUUCAGAAUCUGAAUCAAAAAUUGUUGAACUGAAUCAAUGUCUCAAGAUGGAGCAACAGCUAUGGAUUGGAAGAAGGAUGGUCAAUCAACAAACUCUACCGGAAAUGGCAUGGGGAAUUGUGUUCGGAAUGGAUCAAACGGUGUUGUUUACCCACCGUACGCUUCUCACCGGCUGCGAUUGAACCCUAGUGUUGAUCACAAACCGGAUAACUAUGAUGACCUUCAAUUGGAUUUCAGUCCGUUGUUGUUUAGUUCCCUUGAACGUUAUCUUCCGCCUGCUCUUCUAAACUCAUCACGUGACCAGAAGGUUCAUUUCAUGCGUGAAAUUCUCCUCCGUUACUUUCCUGAAGGCGAACGCACUCGUGUCCAGAAGCAUAGAGAAUACAGACAGAAGAUUAUAUCAAACUAUCA
Molecule: unclassified non-coding RNA, 481 nt
Filed under: Hevea brasiliensis (rubber tree)
Lineage: Eukaryota; Viridiplantae; Streptophyta; Magnoliopsida; Malpighiales; Euphorbiaceae
Source: RNAcentral